UACGUAGGGGGCAAGCGUUGUCCGGAAUCAUUGGGCGUAAAGAGCGUGUAGGCGGCUCGGUAAGUCCGCUGUGAAAGUCCAGGGCUCAACCCUCGGAUGCCGGUGGAUACUGUCGGGCUUGAGUACGGAAGAGGCGAGUGGAAUUCCUGGUGUAGCGGUGAAAUGCGCAGAUAUCAGGAGGAACACCAAUUGCGAAGGCAGCUCGCUGGGACGUUACUGACGCUGAGACGCGAAAGCGUGGGGAGCAAACAGG
RNAcentral lists this ribosomal RNA (253 nucleotides) under uncultured bacterium. RNAcentral's name for it is "partial 16S ribosomal RNA". It matches the Rfam family "Bacterial small subunit ribosomal RNA", at positions 524 to 776 of the family's 1533-position model. The record is from RNAcentral.